This 92-nucleotide ribosomal RNA is filed under the name Yersinia ruckeri. RNAcentral's name for it is "partial 23S ribosomal RNA". It matches the Rfam family "Bacterial large subunit ribosomal RNA", at positions 1 to 92 of the family's 2925-position model. Lineage: Bacteria; Pseudomonadati; Pseudomonadota; Gammaproteobacteria; Enterobacterales; Yersiniaceae. The record is from RNAcentral.
GGUUAAGCGACUAAGCGUACACGGUGGAUGCCUAGGCAGUCAGAGGCGAUGAAGGGCGUGCUAAUCUGCGAAAAGCGUCGGUAAGCUGAUAU